RNAcentral lists this ribosomal RNA (1461 nucleotides) under Lacticaseibacillus casei. Its description in RNAcentral is "bacterial SSU rRNA". It matches the Rfam family "Bacterial small subunit ribosomal RNA". Lineage: Bacteria; Bacillati; Bacillota; Bacilli; Lactobacillales; Lactobacillaceae. The record is from RNAcentral.
UGCCUAAUACAUGCAAGUCGAACGAGUUCUCGUUGAUGAUCGGUGCUUGCACCGAGAUUCAACAUGGAACGAGUGGCGGACGGGUGAGUAACACGUGGGUAACCUGCCCUUAAGUGGGGGAUAACAUUUGGAAACAGAUGCUAAUACCGCAUAGAUCCAAGAACCGCAUGGUUCUUGGCUGAAAGAUGGCGUAAGCUAUCGCUUUUGGAUGGACCCGCGGCGUAUUAGCUAGUUGGUGAGGUAAUGGCUCACCAAGGCGAUGAUACGUAGCCGAACUGAGAGGUUGAUCGGCCACAUUGGGACUGAGACACGGCCCAAACUCCUACGGGAGGCAGCAGUAGGGAAUCUUCCACAAUGGACGCAAGUCUGAUGGAGCAACGCCGCGUGAGUGAAGAAGGCUUUCGGGUCGUAAAACUCUGUUGUUGGAGAAGAAUGGUCGGCAGAGUAACUGUUGUCGGCGUGACGGUAUCCAACCAGAAAGCCACGGCUAACUACGUGCCAGCAGCCGCGGUAAUACGUAGGUGGCAAGCGUUAUCCGGAUUUAUUGGGCGUAAAGCGAGCGCAGGCGGUUUUUUAAGUCUGAUGUGAAAGCCCUCGGCUUAACCGAGGAAGCGCAUCGGAAACUGGGAAACUUGAGUGCAGAAGAGGACAGUGGAACUCCAUGUGUAGCGGUGAAAUGCGUAGAUAUAUGGAAGAACACCAGUGGCGAAGGCGGCUGUCUGGUCUGUAACUGACGCUGAGGCUCGAAAGCAUGGGUAGCGAACAGGAUUAGAUACCCUGGUAGUCCAUGCCGUAAACGAUGAAUGCUAGGUGUUGGAGGGUUUCCGCCCUUCAGUGCCGCAGCUAACGCAUUAAGCAUUCCGCCUGGGGAGUACGACCGCAAGGUUGAAACUCAAAGGAAUUGACGGGGGCCCGCACAAGCGGUGGAGCAUGUGGUUUAAUUCGAAGCAACGCGAAGAACCUUACCAGGUCUUGACAUCUUUUGAUCACCUGAGAGAUCAGGUUUCCCCUUCGGGGGCAAAAUGACAGGUGGUGCAUGGUUGUCGUCAGCUCGUGUCGUGAGAUGUUGGGUUAAGUCCCGCAACGAGCGCAACCCUUAUGACUAGUUGCCAGCAUUUAGUUGGGCACUCUAGUAAGACUGCCGGUGACAAACCGGAGGAAGGUGGGGAUGACGUCAAAUCAUCAUGCCCCUUAUGACCUGGGGUACACACGUGCUACAAUGGAUGGUACAACGAGUUGCGAGACCGCGAGGUCAAGCUAAUCUCUUAAAGCCAUUCUCAGUUCGGACUGUAGGCUGCAACUCGCCUACACGAAGUCGGAAUCGCUAGUAAUCGCGGAUCAGCACGCCGCGGUGAAUACGUUCCCGGGCCUUGUACACACCGCCCGUCACACCAUGAGAGUUUGUAACACCCGAAGCCGGUGGCGUAACCCUUUUAGGGAGCGAGCCGUCUAAGGUGGGAC